Long non-coding RNA from Gossypium arboreum, 1055 nucleotides. RefSeq lists it as uncharacterized. The transcript is spliced from 2 exons. Lineage: Eukaryota; Viridiplantae; Streptophyta; Magnoliopsida; Malvales; Malvaceae. The record is from RefSeq and is a predicted model, not a curated record.
UAGGCCAACAAUGUAAUAACAGAAAAAGGCUCAGAAAACAAAAAACAAAAAAUAAAGAAAAAGGAAACCUAAUUCCUAAUCCAGUCAACAUCAACAGUUGGAUUCCAUAAAUUUGUUGCCUCUUCACAUCUCUGUCCCAGCAGUUCAAACCACAAUAGUUUCCAAAUAUUUUUUUUCUUCUGCAAUCUAUUUUCUUUGUAGUUCUUCCAUGAAACCGCCUCAAUCUAGGUGUCUCGGUCAUCUUUCUUCCAGUGCACGACAGACGUAAUCCGGUACAGCUCCCACAGGUACUUUCCCUCUCCCUUUUUCAACACUUCGUGCACAAGAUUAUGGGCACAUUUAUUUUCUGAUCUAUGAACUGGAAAUCAAUCUCUUCAAAAUGGACCUUUUUGCUUUGAAUAUCUCUAAUAACUGUUCUUGAAUCCCCCAUAAUUGCUAAUGAAUUAAAUCCCAUUGAGAUUCCUAAUUGAACAACUUGCAAACCUGCAUGUGCUUCUGCCGCAAACGGAGAUGAGAUUGCGCUAUGUAUGACUAUCUUCGAGGCUAAAAUCUUGCCCAUCAAGCCCCGAACCACUAGUCUUGAAGCCAAUUUGGAAGAUCAUCUGUCAAAGGCUGUAUCAAAAUAAAUUGUCACCCUCAUAUUUCCUUCAGGUUGUCUGUGCCCUCUAUCAACACUUAAGGGCAGUGUCGAAAAAUGUGAUUGCUGUCCUCUUCCGAACUGCGACACCGGGGACAAGAAACAUUCACUAACACUCUUUUAUGCCUGAAAUUUAUUAGAGUAGGAAUAUAGUUCCAAGAGAUUUUCUAUAUAGUGAGUGUAAUUUUUGAAGGAAGAUGUAAAUUCCAUAGUUUCUUGUAAAAAUCCUUAAUCUCGGUCUGUAUUAAAUUAUCACUAAGACCCAAAUUAGUUUAUUGUAAUAGUUUAUGACGCUUUUGACUGAGAAUUCGCCAAAAGGUUCUCCUCUCCAAACUUGGAAAUCGUCUUGUGCUGCUUUCACCAAAUGAAUUUGCAAAAUUUUCUGUGGAAUGUCCGCAUGAAAGGUAUUAGCGAUUAA